GACGAACGCUGGCGGCGUGCUUAACACAUGCAAGUCGAACGCUGAAGCACCAGCUUGCUGGUGUGGAUGAGUGGCGAACGGGUGAGUAAUACGUGAGUAACCUGCCCUUGACUCUGGGAUAAGCCCGGGAAACUGGGUCUAAUACUGGAUGCUACAUGUCACCGCAUGGUGGUGUGUGGAAAGGGUUUACUGGUCUUGGAUGGGCUCACGGCCUAUCAGCUUGUUGGUGAGGUAAUGGCUCACCAAGGCGACGACGGGUAGCCGGCCUGAGGGGGUGACCGGCCACACUGGGACUGAGACACGGCCCAGACUCCUACGGGAGGCAGCAGUGGGGAAUAUUGGACAAUGGGCGAAAGCCUGAUGCAGCGGCGCCGCGUGAGGGAUGACGGCCUUCGGGUUGUAAACCUCUUUCAGCAGGGAAGAAGCCACAAGUGACGGUACCUGCAGAAGAAGCGCCGGCUAACUACGUG
This 470-nucleotide ribosomal RNA is filed under the name uncultured bacterium. Its description in RNAcentral is "partial 16S ribosomal RNA". It matches the Rfam family "Bacterial small subunit ribosomal RNA", at positions 28 to 507 of the family's 1533-position model. The record is from RNAcentral.